Molecule: unclassified non-coding RNA, 291 nt
Filed under: uncultured fungus
Lineage: Eukaryota; Fungi
Description: sequence contains ITS2
Rfam family: 5.8S ribosomal RNA (bases 1-52)
Source: RNAcentral
AACGCACAUUGCGCCUUCUGGUAAUCCGGAAGGCAUGCCUGUCUGAGCGUCAUUACACCAUUCAAACCUUUCUUUUAUUAGAAGUGGCUUGGUUUUGGAAGUAAAUUGCUAGUUUUAUUACUGUGGUUUCUUCUGUAAUGCAUUGACGAACGUCUACUGUUCCUUAGUUGUAGUAAGCAUUUUCUCAACUUUAAGGUAAUAGUAGAUGUCCUACUUUCUAUUGCUUAGUCUAUUAAGAUUAUCAUUUUAAAGUUUGACCUCAGAUCAGGUAGGAAUACCCGCUGAACUUAA